GCCAACGUGGCGUCGUGGUUUGAGUGUUGGACUACGACUCUGGAGUCCCGGGUUCGAGUCCCUGCUCGGCC
This is a non-coding RNA of Phrynosoma platyrhinos (Desert horned lizard), 71 nucleotides long. NCBI's taxonomy places the organism in Eukaryota, Metazoa, Chordata, Lepidosauria, Squamata, Phrynosomatidae. The record is from the annotation of a GenBank genome assembly.